This 377-nucleotide ribosomal RNA is filed under the name uncultured bacterium. RNAcentral describes it as "bacterial SSU rRNA". It matches the Rfam family "Bacterial small subunit ribosomal RNA", at positions 28 to 399 of the family's 1533-position model. The record is from RNAcentral.
GAUGAACGCUAGCGGCAGGCUUAAUACAUGCAAGUCGUGGGGCAGCAUGAGUAGCAAUACUUGAUGGCGACCGGCAAACGGGUGAGGAACACGUACACAACCUUCCUUCAAGCGGGGAAUAGCCCAGAGAAAUUUGGAUUAAUACCCCAUAAUAUAUUUGAUAAGGCAUCUUAUUAAUAUUAAAGCUUCGGCACUUGAUGAUGGGUGUGCGGCUGAUUAGAUAGUUGGCGGGGUAACGGCCCACCAAGUCUACGAUCAGUAGCUGAUGUGAGAGCAUGAUCAGCCACACGGGCACUGAGACACGGGCCCGACUCCUACGGGGAGGCAGCAGUAAGGAAUAUUGGACAAUGGACGGAAGUACUGAUCCAGCCAUGCCG